CCCCCCCCCCCCCCCUCUCUCUCUCUCUAAAAACCCUUUUCUCCCAAACCUCUCUGUCCCCUUUACCACGAGAUUCUUUCUCCUUCACAAAAAAGAAAUUUUUUUAGGGUUCCUCUUCUCCAAAAAAAUUCUAAUUUUCCUAUAUUCAUGAACCCCCAAAUAUAAAUACUUAUUAUUACAGCUGUCUUUCUACAAAAACCCAACUGGGUUUGUUCAGUAUAAGCUUAAUUGUUAUACGGUUUGAUUUUGGGCGGAGUUUUUGAGGUGGGAUUUUUUUUUCUCCAUAUUUGCGAUGCAAAAAUCCGAUCUUUAUCACUGUCCGAUGUGAUGACUAUUUUCAUCAGUCAAUGGCUUUGACUCUCCUACUUUUUUUGGUUUUUGUCGUAAACCCUCUAUCGAUUUCGGGUUAUUCAGACGAUGAUUCCGAGUUAAUUCUAUUCCAUCAAGACUAUUCCCCGCCGGCGCCGCCACCUCCGCCGCCGCACCCGCCGUCGGUAUCAUGCGAGGACGAUCUUGGCUUGGUAUUUUUCGUUAACCCUCUAUCUAUUUCGGCUUAUUCAGACGAUGAUUCCGAGGUAAUUCUAUUCCAUCAAGACUAUUCCCCGCCGGCGCCGCCACCUCCGCCGCCGCACCCGCCGUCGGUAUCAUGCGAGGACGAUCUUGGCGGCGUUGGGUCGUUGGAUACAACUUGCAAGAUUGUGUCCAAUGUGAAUAUCACUAAGAGUGUGUAUAUAGAAGGGAAGGGAAAUUUUUAUGUC
This 758-nucleotide long non-coding RNA is filed under the name Nicotiana benthamiana. RNAcentral's name for it is "long non-coding RNA (NBEN_LNC022769)". Lineage: Eukaryota; Viridiplantae; Streptophyta; Magnoliopsida; Solanales; Solanaceae. The record is from RNAcentral.